UCCUUCCUCCAUGUCAUGUACAGAAGGUAAAGAAGCUUCUGUAAAAGGGUGGAAUCCUGGAAAGCCUGCCUUUCCAGCCAGCGGUGAUGAGAUCAAAAUGACAUGAACACAUAAGAAUCCACCUCCCUGUGUACCACACCUCCAAGGCCCUGUGGCAUGGCUCAUGUUGAAGAGUGGCAUUCAAGACUGCCUUGUUCAUUAACCAGCACAUCUUGAAAGUACCUGGAUUGCUGCUUUAUUCAGGUUUAUUUUAGACAACCCAAAUGGUGCUGAGCUUUAAGACAAGACACAAAUAAGCUGUCCAACACUCCCAGGAGCCAAAAGGGGUUGCGAAGUCUGGUCAGCCAGCAGCUGCACUACUGUGAGCCUUAGUUAACCCAACGAUUUGGUUAUAAAAACUGAAGACAGAUAAAGGGAAAAGAGAAAGGAAAUAAAGUAAGAAUU
Molecule: long non-coding RNA, 444 nt
Organism: Pipra filicauda (Wire-tailed manakin)
Lineage: Eukaryota; Metazoa; Chordata; Aves; Passeriformes; Pipridae
Exons: 3
Source: RefSeq, a predicted model, not a curated record